RNAcentral lists this ribosomal RNA (119 nucleotides) under Pteropus alecto (black flying fox). The record is from RNAcentral. Lineage: Eukaryota; Metazoa; Chordata; Mammalia; Chiroptera; Pteropodidae.
GUCUACAGCCAUGCCACCCUGAACGUGCCCGAUCUCGUCUGACCUCGGAAGCUAAGCAGGGUUGGGCCUGGUUAGUACUUGGAUAGGAGACCACCUAGGAAUACCAGGUGCUAUAGGUG